UUGCUCAAAGCUCAUCAGCACAUCCUUUUGGAUGCACUUCCCCAUGGACCUUCCAUCACAGGGCUUUGCUUCACCUCCCCGCACCGUCUGCCUCCCCAGUCUUGCUGCCACCUGCCAGACUCACUUUGAAGCAACAGAAGCAAGUUGUGUUGGAGUUGCUGGGCCAGGACCAGCUCAAGGUUACGCUCUUCUCUAAGAACCAUGUGUAAAAGAAGCAAAGAAUUAGACUGAGAAGGGCAAGAGGCGAGAUGCUGGGAGACCUAACCCAAGCAAACCCCUCAUUGUUUGGUAGAGGAAAUUAAGUCCAAGAGGUCAUAUUAGGGGGUCACAUAAAAUGCCUUCUACCAACCAGUCCAGCAUUCUUUAACUCUGUCAUUCUGCUGGUUGCGGCAUGAUUCAUUGAUUGGAGGGUAAAGAAAAAUCCUCACUGUGUUCAGAAGAAUUUGAAGAGAAUAAACCUUUCCCCACUGUUCAGUGAACUUGCUGAUUCCUCUGGAACAGAGACAGCCUUAGAGGGCUGUGACGUGAGAGCCAUGGAAACAGACUUCGUCCAGCUGUUCGCAGAGCGACCGCGUGGUGGCACUGUGGCCAGCAGGCAGAGUCCAUCUGUUCAUACCUGAGGUUUCCAGGAGGUCUUGUCUCAUAGCAACAAGAUAGUGGAAAUCGCUGAGCACCAGAAGCAGCUAUGGACUAAGGAAUCAGUGUGUUCAGAACACCAAUCAUCUGGAGUUCUCUUGCGGUGCAGCGGGUUAAGGAUCCCGCAUUGUCAUUGCAGCAGCUUGGGUCACUGCUAUGGUUCCUUGGCCCAGGAACUUCCACAUGCUGUGGGUGUGACCAAAACCAAAACAAAACAUAAAGCAUCUGAACAUCAGAAAAAAUUCCAAAUAACAAACACCCUUUAGAGGCAUGAAAUCACUAGUCAAAAUAUUAUUUUAAACCCAUUUUACAAAUGGUAGGAUUUUCCCAAAACCCCAACAUGUCACCAAACUCACAGUUGUGCCAUCCACACUUACCAGGGCCUCUCUUUUCUCCAUUUAUUAUUUGACUCUGAGAAUUCAUGGACUUUCCAUAGCAGUGUAAUUUAGACUUUGCCUAAAGGUUCCUGUGUUCUGGUAAACAGACAGUUACGUUUAUUUUAGGUUAAAUUCAUUUUUGGCCCAUCUCAUUUCCAUCAGACCCUCUAAUUUUUGAGACCCUUUAAUCUGGGCCAUUCUGAACUUUUUGCUCAGCUGAACACUUAUGUUCAAAAGCUCUGUCUUCAUUCUCAGAAGAAGCCUCUUAUUAUUACUAUUAUCAUUAUUAUUUUAAUUGAAGGAUAGUCGAGUUACAAUGUUGUGUUAGUUUCAGAUAUACAGCAAAGAGCUUCAGAUAUAUAUUCUUUUUCAGAUUCUUUUCCCAUCUAGGUUAUUGUAGAACAUCGAGUUCAGUUCUCUGUGCUCUACAGUAGGGCCUUCGUGGUUAACUACUUUAUAUAUAGUAGUGUGCAUGUGUUAAUCCCAAACUCCUAAUUUAUCCCUCCCACUCCUUUCCCAUUUGGUAACCAUGCAUUUAUUUUCUGUGUGAGCCUGUUUCUGUUUUGUAAAUAAUUUCAUUCGUUUCUUUUUUUUAGGUUCUUCAUAUAAACAAUUUCACAUAUUUAUCUUUUUCUGUCUGACUUACUAGAAUAAGCCUCUUUAAAAAUAUUGCUUUAGGAGUUCCCGUUGUGGUUCAGUGGUUAAUGAACCUAACUAGUAUUCAUGAGGGUGGGUGUUUGAUCCCUGGCCUCGCUCAGUGGGUUAAGGAUCUGGUGUUGCCAUGAGCUGUGGUGUAGGUCACAGAUGCAGCUCCAAUCCUGUGUUGCUGUGGCUGUGACAUAGGCUGGCAGCUGCAGCUCUGAUUCGACCCCUAGCCUGGGAUUUCCAUAUGCAGCAGGUGUGGCCCUAAAAAG
This 1927-nucleotide long non-coding RNA is filed under the name Sus scrofa (pig). Its description in RNAcentral is "lncRNA (ENSSSCG00000058494.1)". The record is from RNAcentral. Lineage: Eukaryota; Metazoa; Chordata; Mammalia; Artiodactyla; Suidae.